GACGAACGCUGGCGGCGUGCCUAAUACAUGCAAGUAGAACGCACAGUUUAUACCGUAGCUUGCUACACCAUAGACUGUGAGUUGCGAACGGGUGAGUAACGCGUAGGUAACCUGCCUGGUAGCGGGGGAUAACUAUUGGAAACGAUAGCUAAUACCGCAUAAUAUUAAUUAUUGCAUGAUAAUUAAUUGAAAGGUGCAAUUGCACCACUACCAGAUGGACCUGCGUUGUAUUAGCUAGUAGGUGAGGUAACGGCUCACCUAGGCGACGAUACAUAGCCGACCUGAGAGGGUGAUCGGCCACACUGGGACUGAGACACGGCCCAGACUCCUACGGGAGGCAGCAGUAGGGAAUCUUCGGCAAUGGACGAAAGUCUGACCGAGCAACGCCGCGUGAGUGAAGAAGGUUUUCGAAUCGUAAAGCUCUGUUGUAAGAGAAGAACGGGUGUGAGAGUGGAAAGUUCACACUGUGACGGUAUCUUACCAGAAAGGGACGGCUAACUACGUG
This 505-nucleotide ribosomal RNA is filed under the name uncultured bacterium. RNAcentral describes it as "partial 16S ribosomal RNA". It matches the Rfam family "Bacterial small subunit ribosomal RNA", at positions 28 to 507 of the family's 1533-position model. The record is from RNAcentral.